UAAUUAUAAAAAGUUAUACAAAAAAUUCUGAAAAAAAUUUUUUAUUAAAACACUUUUUAGAAUUUGUAAUACAAUUUUUCAUAAUUUUUUAUAAACUUGAAAACUUUUCAGAAUGUCUAUAUAAUUAUCAGAAAUAUGUAACAGGUAAAGGUUCAGAAAAGGUUUAGAAUAAAACCUAUUUUGCUACUUUAACUACUAUACGAAUCAACCUAUUUUAACGCUAAAAACAGUGAAACAAAAAAUUUCAGACAUUAUAAGGGUCAAAGUUAUAGUAACAAAUCGUAUUACUCUAAUCGAACCUAUUUCCAUAUCUUUAGCUCCUACUAUGUUUUAGAAUUAAAGGUUUAAUGUAGGGUCAAAAUUCCGACUCGGGAGAGUGCGCGCGUAUACACACGGGGCCCGCUUCCUCCUCGCGUGCUCGACGCCACUGGCCGCCGUCGCCGCCGAUGCUCUCGUGGUGGUUCGCCGCGCCGCGCCGCGCCGCGCCGCGCCGGGCCCCGGCCUGGCCCGAGUAGCAAGUCACCUCCGCUCACCUCGGCGGAGCGCGCGCGUGAGCCCGACUUCAGUUCGCGCUCCGGCCCCGAGUCGUUGUGCAGCACGGACCGUGCAGCAGGCGAAAGCAAGCGAGGCGAGGCAGGCAGGCAGGCAGGCAGGCAGGCAGGCGGAUGGGCCGGCCGCUGUCGCGCGCGGUCCUAGACGACGACGACGACGACGACGACACGCAACGCACGCAUGUACGCGUUGCCGCCGUUGCUGCGAGCAGAUUCGCUCGCGCCCGUGCACACGAGCGAGAGGCGGACUGACGGGCACGUGACAUACGGGAUUGUCGCGCGCGACCGAAACGCGCGCACGUUAUUAUUAUUGCCUGCGGCAGUGUGAGAUAUCGGGGGGGAUAUCGGGGCGCGACUCGCGCGGGGGAUAGCGAGACGACGUCUGAAAUCGGCGUCCGGUGACUCUUCACCCUGGCGAUUGGACAUCCAUUUUAGGAUUAGAAGAUGUAGAAGAGGAGAAGGAGGAGGAGGAAACGGAAGAUUUCUCUGCGGUGAGUGCCUCCGCAGGGAUUCCUGCGCAGGAGCGGAGCGCGGUAUUAUGUCACACUCCCACGCGAGCGACGGCCGCCGCCGUCGCCGCCGCCGCGGCUGCUGCUGCUGCUGCUGCUGUUGUUGCUGCAAGUCCCAACAUCCUCGUCGCUUGACAUUUCCGCGGCUGUGCGACGCACACGCAACCCCAUUGUGAAUGUUACAGUGCGUUAUUCGUUUCGCCGCUGACAACACGGCUCGCUCGCAGACGAGGGACUCUUUCUUCUCUUUUCUUUUGCCCAUCGUAAUUUGACAGUGACACCCACACUCGGCUCUCGCGAACCGAGCGGUUCGCGCGCGAUCGAUCGAUCGAACGCGCGCGCGCGGCCCACGUUCGAUUCCCGCCUCGGCUCGAGGGGGAAAAAACGAAACGGUUCCCCCCCGGACCGUUCGCGCCUCGAUCAUCAUCCGACGGCGACGACGACGACGACUUUGCCGUGGCCCAACUUCGCCCUCGUGGGAGGAGACGACAAAGGCGGCGCGCGUGCCCCCCGCCGAAGGCGAAGAGGUACACCAAAGUCACCGGAGGAUCGGCAGAACAUCCUCGCGCCUCGUCACCG
Molecule: RNA transcript, 1639 nt
Organism: Monomorium pharaonis (pharaoh ant)
Lineage: Eukaryota; Metazoa; Arthropoda; Insecta; Hymenoptera; Formicidae
Exons: 2
Source: RefSeq, a predicted model, not a curated record